RNAcentral lists this ribosomal RNA (312 nucleotides) under Escherichia coli. Its description in RNAcentral is "partial 16S ribosomal RNA". It matches the Rfam family "Bacterial small subunit ribosomal RNA", at positions 1222 to 1533 of the family's 1533-position model. RNAcentral also lists the same sequence under 2 other names. Lineage: Bacteria; Pseudomonadati; Pseudomonadota; Gammaproteobacteria; Enterobacterales; Enterobacteriaceae. The record is from RNAcentral.
GUGCUACAAUGGCGCAUACAAAGAGAAGCGACCUCGCGAGAGCAAGCGGACCUCAUAAAGUGCGUCGUAGUCCGGAUUGGAGUCUGCAACUCGACUCCAUGAAGUCGGAAUCGCUAGUAAUCGUGGAUCAGAAUGCCACGGUGAAUACGUUCCCGGGCCUUGUACACACCGCCCGUCACACCAUGGGAGUGGGUUGCAAAAGAAGUAGGUAGCUUAACCUUCGGGAGGGCGCUUACCACUUUGUGAUUCAUGACUGGGGUGAAGUCGUAACAAGGUAACCGUAGGGGAACCUGCGGUUGGAUCACCUCCUUA